ACGGGAGGCAGCAGUAGGGAAUAUUGCACAAUGGGGGAAACCCUGAUGCAGCAACGCCACGUGUGGGAAGAAGCAUUUCGGUGUGUAAACCACUGUCGUGAGGGAAUAAUGCUUGGUUUCGGCCAAGUUGAAUGUACCUCGAAAGGAAGCACCGGCAAACUUCGUGCCAGCAGCCGCGGUAAUACGAGGGGUGCAAGCGUUGUUCGGAAUCACUGGGCGUAAAGGGAGCGCAGGCGGAGAUGCAAGCAGUCUGUACAAUACCGGGGCCCAACCCCGGACCUGCAGACUGGACUGUUUCUCUUGGAUAGUUCAGGGGCAAGCGGAAUUCCUGGUGUAGCGGUGGAAUGCGUAGAUAUUAGGAGGAACACCAGUGGCGAAGGCGGCUUGCUGGACGACAACUGACGCUGAGGCGCGAAAGCGUGGGGAGCAAACAGGAUUAGAUACCCUGGUA
This 451-nucleotide ribosomal RNA is filed under the name uncultured Fibrobacter sp. RNAcentral describes it as "partial 16S ribosomal RNA". It matches the Rfam family "Bacterial small subunit ribosomal RNA", at positions 341 to 792 of the family's 1533-position model. The record is from RNAcentral. Lineage: Bacteria; Pseudomonadati; Fibrobacterota; Fibrobacteria; Fibrobacterales; Fibrobacteraceae.